Lonchura striata (white-rumped munia) is the source of this 125-nucleotide long non-coding RNA. RefSeq lists it as uncharacterized. The record is from RefSeq and is a predicted model, not a curated record. NCBI's taxonomy places the organism in Eukaryota, Metazoa, Chordata, Aves, Passeriformes, Estrildidae.
GAUGGAUGAACCUGCAUCAUGCCCAGUAUGUCAUUUGACUGAAGUGUGAUCACAGUAAUAAUUCUCUACUGCUGAACCCUUAGAAAUAUUUAUCUAUUAAGCAGAUACAUUUCUGGCAGCAGAAC